RNAcentral lists this ribosomal RNA (422 nucleotides) under uncultured archaeon. RNAcentral's name for it is "bacterial SSU rRNA". It matches the Rfam family "Archaeal small subunit ribosomal RNA", at positions 458 to 880 of the family's 1478-position model. The record is from RNAcentral.
UCAGCCGCCGCGGUAAUACCAGCUCUCCGAGUGGUGUGGACGUUUAUUGGGCCUAAAGCAUCCGUAGCUGGCUGAACAAGUCCCCUGUUAAACCCACCGAUUUAAUCGUUGGCGUGCGGGGGAUACUGCUUGGCUAGGGGACGAGAGAGGCAGACGGUAUUCCCGGGGUAGGGGUGAAAUCCUAUAAUCCCGAGAAGACCACCAGUGGCGAAGGCUGUCUGCUAGAACGCGCCCGACGGUGAGGGAUGAAAGCUGGGGGAGCGAACCGGAUUAGAUACCCGGGUAGUCCCAGCUGUAAACGAUGCAGACUAGGUGUUUGGACGGCCACGUGCCGUUCUAGUGCCGCAGGGAAGCUGUUAAGCCCGCCGCCUGGGAAGUACGGUCGCAAGGCUGAAACUUAAAGGAAUUGGCGGGGGAGCACA